UCCCUGCUUCUUUUUCUUUUUUCUAAGCUUACCCCCGAGUGACUCUCCAUGGGAGGCCUUCACCUCCUCAAAAUUUGCAUAGUUCUUGGUUUGAGCCAACAUCUUGGUGAAGUCUUUUGGAUAUCUCUUAUCUAGGGAGAAGAGGAAAUAAUACUUGUAAAGUCCACCUUUCAAGGCAGACAUUGUGACCAAGUAAUCCAAGUCACAAACUUUCAGAGUGCCUAUUGAAGCAGCUC
This 236-nucleotide long non-coding RNA is filed under the name Elaeis guineensis (African oil palm). Its description in RNAcentral is "long non-coding RNA (EGUI_LNC032819)". Lineage: Eukaryota; Viridiplantae; Streptophyta; Magnoliopsida; Arecales; Arecaceae. The record is from RNAcentral.